This is a long non-coding RNA of Esox lucius (northern pike), 1094 nucleotides long. Lineage: Eukaryota; Metazoa; Chordata; Actinopteri; Esociformes; Esocidae. The record is from Ensembl.
CCCCCGAACAGAACACAUGACACUGUUGAACUCUGUGGUACAUAUGAUGACUGAAUCUGGUAUAUGAGUCUGGUAACUGUAUAUGUAGUGGACAGAAUUCAGUCAUCAUAUGUACCACAGAGUUCAAUAACUUGACUUUUUUUUAGGCUGGACAAAACAAGGGAAUGAGGAUCUAGGGUUGUUGGCAUUUCCUUCUCUACUCUAGUCUCACUCUCCUUUUUCCCCUCUCCUCUCUUCAUCAUUCUCUCCUCUAUUCCCCAUCUAUCCUCCUCUUCUCUUCUCUUCCUCUUCUCUUCCUCUUUAUCUCCUCUCUCUUCCUCCUCUUCUAUCCUUAACUGAUCUUCACAACUUUCCUCUCUUUCCCUCUGUAUUCUCUUCAUUCUUGCCUUUCUCAUCUCGUUAGGUUCUCAUCAUUCUGUAAAAUUAUAGACCAGUUGCCAACAAAAGAUAGAGUCGAUAUAAAAAGUAUACACACCCCUGUUAAAAUGCCAUGUUUUGUGAUGUAAAAGAAUGAGACAAAGAUAAAUCAUGUCGGAUCUUUUCCCACUUUUAAUGUGACCAAUAAUGUGAAAAAUUCAAUUGAAAAACUAAUUGAAAUCUUCGAGGGGGAACAUUUUUAAAUAAAACCCUUACAAUAACCUGGUUGCAUAAGAGUGAUGCCAACACCCCGUUCCCAAAACUGGUAUCACACCUGAUGCCAACACCCCGUUCCCAAGACUGGGGUCACACCUGAUAUUCCAUUAUGAUUAAUCAUUAUCAUUACUAGAUCUGAGAGGUUUGGAGGAGUUAAUUGGGGUGGGGUAGGUGACUGGGAAGAUGUUUUAUAGGGGAUGUGUUGAGGAGGUGGGGUUGGGUAGGAGACUGGGAAGGUGUUGUAUGGGGAUGUGUUGAGGAGGUGGGGUUGGGUGAGGUGACUGGGAAGGUGUUGUAUAGGGGAUGUGUUGAGGAGGUGGGGUUGGGUAGGUGACUGGGAAGGUGUUGUAUUGGGGGUGUGUUGAGGAGGUGGGGUUGGGUGAGGUGAUUGGGAAGGUGUUGUAUUGGGGGUGUGUUGAGGAGGUGGGGUUGGGUAGGUGACUGGGAAGGUGGGAUGUGUU